CCUACGUGUGGCAGCAGUGAGGAAUAUUGGUCAAUGGACGAGAGUCUGAACCAGCCAAGUAGCGUGAAGGAUGACUGCCCUAUGGGUUGUAAACUUCUUUUAUAAAGGGAUAAAACGAGGCACGUGUGCCUUUUUGCAUGUACUUUAUGAAUAAGGAUAGGCUAACUCCGUGCCAUCAGCCGCGGUAAUACGGAGGAUCCGAGCGUUAUGCGGAUUUAUUGGGUUUAAAGGGAGCGUAGGUGGGUUGGUAAGUCAGUUGUGAAAGUUUGCGGCUCAACCUGAAAAUUGCAAUUGAUACUGGCAGGCUUGAGUAUAGUAGAGGUAGGUAGAAUUCGAGGUGUAGCGGUGAAAUGCUUAGAUAUCAGGAAGAACCCCGAUGGCGAAGGCAG
This 389-nucleotide ribosomal RNA is filed under the name uncultured bacterium. RNAcentral describes it as "partial 16S ribosomal RNA". It matches the Rfam family "Bacterial small subunit ribosomal RNA", at positions 338 to 724 of the family's 1533-position model. The record is from RNAcentral.